RNA transcript from Phragmites australis (common reed), 1331 nucleotides. RefSeq lists it as uncharacterized. NCBI's taxonomy places the organism in Eukaryota, Viridiplantae, Streptophyta, Magnoliopsida, Poales, Poaceae. The transcript is spliced from 3 exons. The record is from RefSeq and is a predicted model, not a curated record.
GGUAGAGUAGCAUUUUGACCUGUGACAUCCGAUAGGAUAAAAAAAAAAGCAAUUGCCCCAGUCCUUGGAGCGUCGCCUCGGCCGCACUCCCUAGAACCUUCUUCUUCUCCCGUAUACGAGCCUUCUCUAGCAGCUCCGGUAUGGCGGAGGAUUCGCCGGAGCAGCAGCAGCGGAGCGUGGAGGCGAGGGAGACCGUAGAGCUGACGGAGAAGGAGGAGCGGAUUUUCCGGAGGCUUCUUGAUGUCGUCCGCCACUUGGACCUCGCCACGCAGCUGCGCGUCGCCGGUGCCUUCCUCCGCGGUACGACCUGGACGCCAAGUGGGACGCCUGCCUCGACCUCUCCAUCCGCCGCAUCGCCUACUCCUCCCUCGCCGGCGCCUUCGCAAGCCUCCUCCUCUUCCGACAGAGACCCGGCAGUCCUCUAUGUUUUGGUGCAAUGAACAACGCUGAUAGUGCUACUUUGGUGCUGGAUGGGUGGAUACGUCUGUUAAUUUAGGGUUAUUGCGGAUGCUCGUGUUCCAUUUUUGAUCGGACAGGCUACAUAGGCUGCGCACGUCCAAGUGAUUCUGUCAGUUUGUGGAUCAAUGCGUGUAUGAACCGGUUGCUUUAGGGCAUUGCAGAGAAAUUGUUUUGACUAUCUGCGGUUAUUAGGAAGUCACAUUUGUCGGAAUUGAGUUAUAUAUUGUGAGUUAUAUACGGGUAUCAGGAUUUGCAAGUAUUGUGUGAAGUUGCAAGAGGGCAAGUGAAAUUUCCUUAAGUUCAUUUACUGUGUGACAUAGAGAGAGCACUGCAUUAUGAAUAAGCUGCAAGAUGAGGAAAUUAAACCAAAUGCGAGGAGGCUCGGGUGUUUUUUGAUCUGCUUGUCAUUGAUGUAGGGAGGCUGAGCUUCGUAUUAGGUUUGUCAUGGCUCUCUCUGGUUGGCAACAACUUGUUUGCUUACUCUUAAGUUCAUCAGACUUGGUGUGGACAGAGCUUGUUGUUUGAUGAUUAUUUUUUAUGGAUGCUCUAUCCUAGAGGUUUUAGGGUUUUCUGUGGGAUUUCUCUCAUGUUAUCACCAGAAACCAAUUGUAUUCCAGUGCACUUGGAGAAAGUAAAGCAAUUUCCCUGUGAGAAAAUUAUGGUUGUCAUUAUGGAGGCUUCCAGGGAUCUUGCACGAAAUGUUAUGCCGAAGUCAGAGACAUUGGCAAAGAUCCAAGUCUAUUUGAGCUUAUCCACAAACCAAGAGGUGCUGAUGGAGGCGGUUGCUCUUGCCAAGGUUAAAAUGAGAGUUAACGACGAUUAUAAAUAUUUGCAGUUUUACCAAGAUCCAGUCAAAAUUUUAAAACUUUAAC